UACGGAGGGUGCAAGCGUUAAUCGGAAUUACUGGCGUAAAGCGUGCGUAGGCGGUUCGUUAAGUCAGAUGUGAAAGCCCCGGGCUUAACCUGGGAACUGCAUUUGAAACUGGCGGACUUGAGUUGAGUAGAGGGGAGUGGAAUUUCAGGUGUAGCGGUGAAAUGCGUAGAUAUCUGAAGGAACACCAGUGGCGAAGGCGACUCCCUGGACUCAAACUGACGCUGAGGUACGAAAGCGUGGGUAGCAAACAGGAUUAGAUACCCUGGUAGUCCACGCUGUAAACGAUGUCAACUAGCCGUUGGUCCUAUUUUACAGGAUUAGUGGCGCAGCUAACGCAUUAAGUUGACCGCCUGGGGAGUACGGCCGCAAGGUUAAAAACUCAAAAUGAAUUGACGGGGGCCCGCACAAGCGGUGGAGCAUGUGGUUUUAAUUCGAUGCAAC
This 441-nucleotide ribosomal RNA is filed under the name uncultured bacterium. RNAcentral describes it as "bacterial SSU rRNA". It matches the Rfam family "Bacterial small subunit ribosomal RNA", at positions 524 to 960 of the family's 1533-position model. The record is from RNAcentral.